GAGAGACACUUGCAUGCUACCCUACCAGCUACUUGAAUGUCUUGUUUCUUAUCUGUCUCCUUGGAGGAGAAACUCAGAAGAAACCUUUGGCAGUCUGAUGCCUGGACUCAGACUCAUCUUUGUCAUAAAGCUGACUCCUAUCAUGGUGGAUACUCUAAUAUGCCGCCCAUUUCAGGAAUGCAAGACUCAUUCCCUUGCUGCCAGAAGACAGUCCUCAGGUGUCAGCUCUCUUUGGGGAUUACAUCUCCUGAAGAAAAUUGUCUCUCCUAAGGUCAUGCCUCCUCCUUCCAGGAGCAGCCUGUGUCCAAUCACUAAUCAUUACCAGGAUAUAAAGACCAUCCCCCCCACUGCUCCCUCUCCCCUAAGCUCCAAUCUGAGAGACGCUUGAAGGAUCAUCCCGACUCUAGGACCUUUCUGGUGAACCUAACGUAGGAUAUCUGUGGAUUGCUGGGCCGAGGCUUCUGAGAUGGCUGGAUUCUUGAUGGUUCGAAUUGGUGGCAUAU
Molecule: long non-coding RNA, 503 nt
Filed under: Mustela putorius furo (domestic ferret)
Lineage: Eukaryota; Metazoa; Chordata; Mammalia; Carnivora; Mustelidae
Description: lncRNA (ENSMPUG00000031934.1)
Source: RNAcentral